GGUGGCUCAGUGGUAGAGCACUUGCCUUGCAUGCAUGAGGCCCUGGGUUCUAUUGCUCAGCACCA
Molecule: non-coding RNA, 65 nt
Organism: Dipodomys ordii (Ord's kangaroo rat)
Lineage: Eukaryota; Metazoa; Chordata; Mammalia; Rodentia; Heteromyidae
Source: Rfam